CCUACGGGUGGCAGCAGUGGGGGAUAUUGCACAAUGGGGGAAACCCUGAUGCAGCGACGCCGCGUGUGGGAAGACGGUCUUCUGGAUUGUAAACCACUGUCCCCAGGGACGAAAAUGACGGUACCGGGGGAGGAAGCUCCGGCUAACUACGUGCCAGCAGCCGCGGUAAUACGUAGGGAGCAAGCGUUGUCCGGAAUUACGGGGUGUAAAGGGAGCGUAGGAGGGGAUUCAAGGUGGGUGUCAAAACUACCGGCUCAACCGAUAGUCGCACUCAAAACUGCAACUCUUGAGUGAAGUAGAGGCAGGCGGAAUUCCUAGUGUAGCGGUGAAAUGCGUAGAUAUUAGGAGGAACACCAGUGGCGCAGGCGGCCUGCUGGGCUUUUCCUGCCGCUGAGGCUCGAACGUGUGGGGAGCAAACAGGAUUAGCUACCCCAGUAGUC
RNAcentral lists this ribosomal RNA (440 nucleotides) under uncultured bacterium. RNAcentral's name for it is "partial 16S ribosomal RNA". It matches the Rfam family "Bacterial small subunit ribosomal RNA", at positions 338 to 795 of the family's 1533-position model. The record is from RNAcentral.